CUCUAUGAGAAAUUUACUCUUUUUCACAUCUCUACAGCAGCAUGUUUAGAAAAGUGUUAACUUUGUUUUCAAGUUGUCCCAUUCUGUCUUGUGCACAAGUUCGCAUAAGGUCAAACUGAUUUAUUCUGGGCCUGUUUAUUCUUUUGAAAUGUAUGUGUAGGAAUGUCAUAGCAUUUUCUUCCUGGAAAGUUCGCAAUUGCAAGAAUAAAGACAAGAACUACAGACCUGAUGUAAAUGCCUACAACAGAAAAAGGCCAGAUGAGAAAUCUGAAGAAGGUAUUAACAAAGAAGCCACAAGGUGACACUAGCACAGCACUGAGGCUAAACUGAUGGACUCUGCAUCUUUGGAGGUUUUGCCAGUUUUCCGUUCCACAGGAUCUUUUCAGCUAAAAGCACAGGGAAAACGUCAGCUAUGCCUGCCUGCAAGCAAAAGUAUACAAAAUCUGAAUUUAAAUGGCCUGGAAUGUAUUAGAGUUCCUACAGACCUAGGAUGUCUCAGGUGUUCAUUUGAUUGGAUUUCUCCAUAGAAGACAACUUGAGAAGAAAGGCAAUUGUCAGUUAAAACUUCUGGAUCUUCACUAAAAAAUAACCCCUGACUUCCAGAUAAUUAACAUGUUAUUGCAGCUGUAAAAACUGAAGUAUAAAAUAAAAAUAUAUAAGCCUUAAAAGUCAUGCAGAUACAUCAAAGCUACUCUCUUCAAUUUAUACAGAACCAGCUCUGUUAUCUGUUCCCUCUGAUACUUUAAUUCCUGGCUUCUGGUAUUUUGCUAUUUGAAGACCAAAAAAAAAAAAAAAAAUCAAAAACCAUAUUAUAUGAAAUUCACUACAGAAAUGAUGCAAAAUCAAGGUGUAAGUAUAAAUAAACCAACUU
This is a long non-coding RNA of Dromaius novaehollandiae (emu), 871 nucleotides long. RefSeq lists it as uncharacterized. The record is from RefSeq and is a predicted model, not a curated record. Lineage: Eukaryota; Metazoa; Chordata; Aves; Casuariiformes; Dromaiidae. The transcript has 3 exons.